Molecule: ribosomal RNA, 253 nt
Filed under: uncultured bacterium
Lineage: Bacteria
Description: partial 16S ribosomal RNA
Rfam family: Bacterial small subunit ribosomal RNA
Source: RNAcentral
UACGUAGGGGGCAAGCGUUGUCCGGAUUUAUUGGGCGUAAAGAGCGUGUAGGCGGCCCGACAGGUCCGUUGUGAAAACUCGAGGCUCAACCUCGAGACGUCGAUGGAAACCGUCGGGCUAGAGUCCGGAAGAGGAGAGUGGAAUUCCUGGUGUAGCGGUGAAAUGCGCAGAUAUCAGGAGGAACACCAGUGGCGAAGGCGGUUCUCUGGGCAUUACCUGACGCUGAGGAGCGAAAGUGUGGGGAGCGAACAGG